Molecule: non-coding RNA, 463 nt
Filed under: Pan troglodytes (chimpanzee)
Lineage: Eukaryota; Metazoa; Chordata; Mammalia; Primates; Hominidae
Source: RNAcentral
GAUGCAUUUCGGAUUUCAAGGGAGUAUACAUUUCUGGAGCGACUUAUGCUGACAUUUGAAGAAAUAGAAAUCUAAGACAAAGGAAAAAGAAAAGAAAUGUUGAAGUUCUUCAGAUGUGGAAGACAUGGUGAGGAUUCCUUCAUCUCUGUGACUGGCUUGCUUGAUGGUUAGGGUCUGAUCGCUGCCUGAGACACCAUAUCGGUACUCCUCAGAGUUGAUGCAGAGUGUUCAUAUGAGGAGAGACUUUCCCUUGUCUCUGUCAUCUGUGAUUUCACUUCCCUGACAGAAGACGAAGCUUCCAUCUCAGAUGUUUUCUUAAAUGAUGAAACAGCAUACGCCUCUGUUCUUGUCAGCUCAGGGAAAACAGAUCUGGGGACCUCUUCAUCUCUGCGUUGGGAAGCAUAGGUGGUAUAAUCCCCUCCUGUCACGUCCAACGUUGCAUAGUCAGAAGCUUCGCCCUUGU